GACGAACGCUGGCGGCGUGCCUAACACAUGCAAGUCGAACGGUAAGGCCCUUCGGGGUACACGAGUGGCGAACGGGUGAGUAACACGUAGGUGAUCUGCCCUGCACUUCGGGAUAAGCCUGGGAAACUGGGUCUAAUACCGGAUAGGACCACUGCCUGCAUGGGUGGUGGUGGAAAGCUUUUGCGGUGUGGGAUGGGCCCGCGGCCUAUCAGCUUGUUGGUGGGGUGAUGGCCGACCAAGGCGACGACGGGUAGCCGGCCGGAGAGGGUGACGGGCCACACUGGGACUGAGCUACGGCCCAGACUCCUGCGGGAGGCAGCGGGGGGGAAUAUUGCACAAUGGGCGCAAGCCUGAUGCAGCGACGCCGCGUGAGGGAUGACGGCCUUCGGGUUGUAAACCUCUUUCAGCACCGACGAAGCGCAAGUGACGGUAGGUGCAGAAGAAGGACCGGCCAACUACGUGCCAGCCGCCGCCGUAA
This 478-nucleotide ribosomal RNA is filed under the name uncultured bacterium. Its description in RNAcentral is "partial 16S ribosomal RNA". It matches the Rfam family "Bacterial small subunit ribosomal RNA", at positions 28 to 523 of the family's 1533-position model. The record is from RNAcentral.